GACGAACGCUGGCGGCGUGCUUAACACAUGCAAGUCGAGCGAGGCCCUCCUUCGGGGGGUGCCCUAGCGGCGAACGGGUGAGUAACACGUGGGCAACCUGCCCUCAGCUCUGGGAUAACUCCAAGAAAUUGGUGCUAAUACCGGAUGUGACCGCUGACCGCAUGGUCUGGUGGUGGAAAGAUUCAUCGGCUGAGGAUGGGCCCGCGGCCUAUCAGCUUGUUGGUGGGGUGAUGGCCUACCAAGGCGACGACGGGUAGCCGGCCUGAGAGGGUGACCGGCCACACUGGCACUGACAUACGGGCCAGACUCCUACGGGAGGCAGCAGUCGGGAAUUUUGGGCAAUGGGCGAAAGCCUGACCCAGCAACGCCGCGUGAAGGAUGAAGCUUCUCGGAGUGUAAACUUCAUAAGAAUGGGACGAAUAAAUGGGGAUAAUACCCCCAUGAUGACGGUACCAUUUGUAAGCUCCGGCUAACUCCGUGCCAGCCGCCGCGG
RNAcentral lists this ribosomal RNA (493 nucleotides) under uncultured bacterium. RNAcentral's name for it is "bacterial SSU rRNA". It matches the Rfam family "Bacterial small subunit ribosomal RNA", at positions 28 to 520 of the family's 1533-position model. The record is from RNAcentral.